GAUGAACGCUGGCGGCGUGCCUAAUACAUGCAAGUCGAGCGAACAGACGAGGAGCUUGCUCCUCUGACGUUAGCGGCGGACGGGUGAGUAACACGUGGAUAACCUACCUAUAAGACUGUGAUAACUUCGGGAAACCGGAGCUAAUACCGGAUAAUAUAUUGAACCGCAUGGUUCAAUAGUUAAAGACGGUUUUGCUGUCACUUAUAGAUGGAUCCGCGCCGCAUUAGCUAGUUGGUAAGGUAACGGCUUACCAAGGCAACGAUGCGUAGCCGACCUGAGAGGGUGAUCGGCCACACUGGAACUGAGACACGGUCCAGACUCCUACGGGAGGCAGCAGUAGGGAAUCUUCCGCAAAGGGCGAAAGCCUGACGGAGCAAAGCCGCGUGAGUGAUGAAGGUCUUCGGAUCGUAAAACUCUGUUAUUAGGGAAGAACAAAUGUGUAAGUAACUAUGCACGUCUUGACGGUACCUAAUCAGAAAGCCACGGCUAACUACGUG
RNAcentral lists this ribosomal RNA (497 nucleotides) under uncultured bacterium. RNAcentral describes it as "partial 16S ribosomal RNA". It matches the Rfam family "Bacterial small subunit ribosomal RNA", at positions 28 to 507 of the family's 1533-position model. The record is from RNAcentral.